CGGGGUGGAGUAACGCGUGGAUAACCUGCCUCACACUGGGGGAUAACAGUUAGAAAUGACUGCUAAUACCGCAUAAGCGCACAGUACCGCAUGGUACAGUGUGAAAAACUCCGGUGGUGUGAGAUGGAUCCGCGUCUGAUUAGCCAGUUGGCGGGGUAACGGCCCACCAAGCGACGAUCAGUAGCCGACCUGAGAGGGUGACCGGCCACAUUGGGACUGAGACACGGCCCAA
This 232-nucleotide ribosomal RNA is filed under the name uncultured bacterium. RNAcentral describes it as "partial 16S ribosomal RNA". It matches the Rfam family "Bacterial small subunit ribosomal RNA", at positions 104 to 334 of the family's 1533-position model. The record is from RNAcentral.